UUCUAAUUCUCACAUUUUCACUCGCUGGCCUUCUCACUGUCUCUCUCGGUCUCUCUCUCACUUCGACCCCUCUCAAUUUCUUUCUCACUAAUGCUCGAGUAUUCCUCCUUAUUGGGCUACUGAUUUUGAUAUGUUUCCUCAGAGCAUGUGCUGUAAAAAGGCAAGUUUCUCUCUUCUUGCUUAGUAAUCAAUUUCCCCAAUUUUUAUUGACCCGAUUUUGUGUUCCCAACAUUCAAUUUUUGGGUAAAUUCUCUUCUUCUCUAUCAUUUGUCUAGUUUCCCCAAAGUUUCUUACCCUAAUUAGCAAUCACCAUCAUUUGCAAUCACCUUUUCUACCCUACUUAGAUGAUCAAUUGUUUCAAUUUUCCCCAAAUUUUAUUGCCCUAAUUUAAAAAAAAAAUUUUCUGCCCAGGACAAGGAGGGCAUCCCGGGACCAGCAGCACCUCAUCUUCACUGGCAAGCAACUCGAGGACAGCCGCAC
Molecule: long non-coding RNA, 480 nt
Filed under: Coffea arabica (coffee)
Lineage: Eukaryota; Viridiplantae; Streptophyta; Magnoliopsida; Gentianales; Rubiaceae
Description: long non-coding RNA (CARA_LNC000040)
Source: RNAcentral